UGUGUGUGUCUCAGAUGCUGUCACUCUCAGUAGAGUGGUGUGUGUGUCAGUCGUCUUGAUUCACACACUGACUCCUCCUCAGGACUGACGCCGUGAGCAAACGAGCGUCUGGAUGAAGGACUGAAGAACACACACACUUCAGGCUCAUUCAGCAUCUGUUUCCUUUCAUAUUUAAACACUUUGAGCGAUUUUAAAGCUGCUGUCAGUGAUUUUUUAGGAGUAUCACACAUCAAAUGUUGAGAAAUCACAUCACGCUCAAUUCUGACUGAAGUGACACCCGCAUCCCUCGCUGUCCGUCUGAUAACUCGGUACUUAGUGAAAUCAAGAUUUAUGUGUUUGAAUUCUAUGUAAAAUUUGGCUAACAUUGUUUUAACAUAAACUAAUAAACUUAAUGUGAUGCAUAUAAGUCAGUCAUACAUAAUGAGGUCAGAUUUCUAAAUGCAAGAAAGAAAAAAAACACAUAAUAAUCAACUAUUUGCAUUUAUUUGAUUUUAUUUAAAUAAUAAUUUUUUCGAAAUACAUUUAUACAUAUGGCUUAGAAUCAUCAUAAAUCAGUUCAUUGUGAAAACAAUUUAUUCAGUUCAAAAGCAUGAACAUGGUUCAGAUAUGACUAUAGCUGUGGAACAAGCAAUAUUCAAAUGCAUGAGAUUUAAAGAAGCUGGAUUUAUUGAUGUUAAAUAUAUAAAGCUGGUUAUUUGUUUAUUUAGAACACAUUCUGUUUAUUAGUGCUAUUACAGAAAUCUGACUGGCUUUAUUUAUACAUGACAGACAAAUUUGCAUCACAUUACGUUUUUUAGUUUGGUAAAACUGGGUAAUUCAAAUGUUAAAUGCAAUUCAUAUACAUAAAACAUUUAAUUUAGGCCUUUUUUGAGUGAAGGGGAGUGGCCUGUUUUUUUAGCCAAUCAGAAACCCUGUCAGUCAUUAUGCAUGUUCAGAUUUGCAGACCUCGGUUUGGUGGGUGGGGUUUGAUACAGAUGGUGUGUCUGUCUUAGUAGGUGGAGUUUGGCAUAAAAGGUGUGUGUGUGUGUGCGUGUGUGUGUCUUUUAGUGGGUGGAGUUUAAUAGGGGGCUUGUGUCAGUGGGCGGAGUUUGACACAGAGGGUGUGUCUCAGUGGGUGGAGUUUCUUAUAGAGGGUGUGUGUGUCUUAGUGGGUGGGAUUUGGCAUAUAGGGGACAUGUGUGUAAUUUAGUGGGCGGGGUUUAAUAGGGGGCUUGUGUUAAUGGGCGGAGUUUGACACAGAGGGUGUGUCUCAGUGGGUGGCGUUUCUCAUAGAGGGUGUGUGUGUCUUAAUAGGUGGAGUUUGGCAUAAAGUGUGUGUGUGUGUGUGUGUGUGUGUGUGUGUGUGUGUCUUUUAGUGGGCGGGGUUUAAUAGAUGGCUUGUAUCAGUGGGCGGAGUUUGACACAGAGGUGUGUCUCAGUGGGUGGCGUUUCUCAUAGAGGGUGUGUCUCAGUGGGUGGCGUUUCUCAUAGAGGGUGUGUGUGUCUUAGUGGGCGGGGUUUAGCACAGAAGGCGUGUGUGUGUUAGUGGGUGGAGUCAGGGGCGUGUGCGAUUGAAGCUGAAAAACUCCUGAAAUCACUUGUGGCACCUUUAACAAUCAGACACUUUGUUCAGAACUUAUAACCUCUUAAAAGGUCAAACAAAAAACUUUAUAUUUGUGUUACCAAAUGGUCCGUUCACACAGGACGUGUUCCUGCUUUUAAACACCUGGACUGAGAUCAGUGCAACAGAACAGAAG
This is a long non-coding RNA of Sinocyclocheilus anshuiensis, 1736 nucleotides long. RefSeq lists it as uncharacterized. The transcript is spliced from 2 exons. The record is from RefSeq and is a predicted model, not a curated record. NCBI's taxonomy places the organism in Eukaryota, Metazoa, Chordata, Actinopteri, Cypriniformes, Cyprinidae.